UACGUAGGGGGCGAGCGUUGUCCGGAGUUACUGGGCGUAAAACGCACGCAGGCGGUCUGCUAAGUUUGGAGUGACAGUUGGUGGCUUAACUGCCAAAGUGCUUCGAAAACUGACAGACUUGAGGGCUUCAGAGGGACACGGAAUUCCGGGUGGAGUGGUGAAAUGCGUAGAGAUCCGGAGGAACACCAAAGGCGAAGGCAGUGUCCUGGGGAGUACCUGACGCUCAGGUGCGAAAGCCAGGGGAGCGAACGGG
Molecule: ribosomal RNA, 253 nt
Filed under: uncultured bacterium
Lineage: Bacteria
Description: partial 16S ribosomal RNA
Rfam family: Bacterial small subunit ribosomal RNA
Source: RNAcentral